GACGAACGCUGGCGGCGUGCCUAAUACAUGCAAGUCGAGCGGGGAUUAUGCUUGAUCGCUUCGGUGAGACGGCAUAUAUCCUAGCGGCGGACGGGUGAGUAACGCGUGGGUAAUCUACCUCGUAGUUCGGGAUAACAGGCCGAAAGGCUUGCUAAUACCGGAUGAGUUCAUGCUUAUGCAUAUAGGCAUGAAGAAAGGGCUAGCCCGCUAUGAGAUGAGCCCGCGUCCCAUUAGCUUGUUGGUGGGGUAAUGGCCUACCAAGGCAACGAUGGGUAGCCGGCCUGAGAGGGUGUACGGCCACACUGGGACUGAGACACGGCCCAGACUCCUACGGGGGGCAGCAGUAGGGAAUUUUCGGCAAUGGGCGAAAGCCUGACCGAGCGACGCCGCGUGAGGGACGAAGGCCUUCGGGUUGUAAACCGUCUGUCUGGGGGAGUGAGAACGGACGGUACCCCCGGAGGAAGCCCGGCUAACUACGUG
RNAcentral lists this ribosomal RNA (480 nucleotides) under uncultured bacterium. Its description in RNAcentral is "bacterial SSU rRNA". It matches the Rfam family "Bacterial small subunit ribosomal RNA", at positions 28 to 507 of the family's 1533-position model. The record is from RNAcentral.